RNAcentral lists this transfer-messenger RNA (370 nucleotides) under Deinococcota bacterium. It matches the Rfam family "transfer-messenger RNA". From Rfam's summary of the family: Bacterial tmRNA, also known as 10Sa RNA or SsrA, is named for its dual tRNA and mRNA-like properties. Its role is to liberate the mRNA from a stalled ribosome. To accomplish this part of the tmRNA is used as a reading frame that ends in a translation stop signal. The record is from RNAcentral. Lineage: Bacteria; Thermotogati; Deinococcota.
GGGGGCGACCUGGUUUCGACGGGGUUCGCCAAGAAGUAGGUUGCGCGUCGAGGACGCCGUUGGCCUCGUUAAAAAACGGCACAGCCAAUAACUGGCAACGUUAACAACAACAGCUACGCACUCGCUGCUUAAAUCCGGCGACGUCUCCUAGAAGCCCAGCCGAUGGCUCGCUAGGCAAGAUGAAUUAUAGUCGGCUAGCCUAAAGUCUCGAGCGUUGGACUUUAACGGGCGAAAACAAAGACGCUUAGGUCGCGCCGCUGAGCCCGUCACCGGGCGCAGGCGCCGCCGAAACCAAAAACGGUGACUACACGCGUAGAGACCUGGUUUGAGGGAGCUUCGGACGGCGGUUCGAUUCCGCCCGCCUCCACCA